GGACCCGCACAAGUAGCGGAGCAUGUGGUUUAAUUCGAAGCAACGCGAAGAACCUUACCUAAGCUUGACAUCCCAAUGACAUCUCCUUAAUCGGAGAGUUCCCUUCAGGGACAUUGGUGACAGGUGGUGCAUGGUUGUCGUCAGCUCGUGUCGUGAGAUGUUGGGUUAAGUCCCGCAACGAGCGCAACCCUUGUCUUUAGUUGCCAUCAUUAAGUUGGGCACUCUAGAGAGACU
This 234-nucleotide ribosomal RNA is filed under the name Clostridioides difficile. Its description in RNAcentral is "partial 16S ribosomal RNA". It matches the Rfam family "Bacterial small subunit ribosomal RNA", at positions 917 to 1150 of the family's 1533-position model. The record is from RNAcentral. Lineage: Bacteria; Bacillati; Bacillota; Clostridia; Peptostreptococcales; Peptostreptococcaceae.